Molecule: ribosomal RNA, 193 nt
Filed under: Fusarium verticillioides
Lineage: Eukaryota; Fungi; Ascomycota; Sordariomycetes; Hypocreales; Nectriaceae
Description: partial large subunit ribosomal RNA
Rfam family: Eukaryotic large subunit ribosomal RNA
Source: RNAcentral
AGUAACGGCGAGUGAAGCGGCAACAGCUCAAAUUUGAAAUCUGGCUCUCGGGCCCGAGUUGUAAUUUGUAGAGGAUACUUUUGAUGCGGUGCCUUCCGAGUUCCCUGGAACGGGACGCCAUAGAGGGUGAGAGCCCCGUCUGGUUGGAUGCCAAAUCUCUGUAAAGUUCCUUCAACGAGUCGAGUUGUUUGGG